CUAGAUGCUGACGAGCGGCGGACGGGUGAGUAAUGCAUAGGAAUCUGCCCGAUAGUGGGGGAUAACCUGGGGAAACCCAGGCUAAUACCGCAUACGUCCUACGGGAGAAAGGGGGCUCCGGCUCCCGCUAUUGGAUGAGCCUAUGUCGGAUUAGCUAGUUGGUGAGGUAAUGGCUCACCAAGGCAACGAUCCGUAGCUGGUCUGAGAGGAUGAUCAGCCACAUCGGGACUGAGACACGGCCCGAACUCCUACGGGAGGCAGCAGUGGGGAAUAUUGGACAAUGGGGGCAACCCUGAUCCAGCCAUGCCGCGUGUGUGAAGAAGGCCCUCGGGUUGUAAAGCACUUUCAGCGAGGAAGAACGCCUAGUGGUUAAUACCCAUUAGGAAAGACAUCACUCGCAGAAGAAGCACCGGCUAACUCCGUGCCAGCAGCCGCGGUAAUACGGAGGGUGCAAGCGUUAAUCGGAAUUACUGGGCGUAAAGCGCGCGUAGGUGGCUUGAUAAGCCGGUUGUGAAAGCCCCGGGCUCAACCUGGGAACGGCAUCCGGAACUGUCAGGCUAGAGUGCAGGAGAGGAAGGUAGAAUUCCCGGUGUAGCGGUG
RNAcentral lists this ribosomal RNA (600 nucleotides) under uncultured bacterium. RNAcentral describes it as "bacterial SSU rRNA". It matches the Rfam family "Bacterial small subunit ribosomal RNA", at positions 80 to 683 of the family's 1533-position model. The record is from RNAcentral.